CACUUACUCACUCCGUCCAACAAAAGAUGUUCCAAGUUUGACAAAAUUUGGAUGUAUCAAAACAUGAAUUAGUUUAUAGAUGCAUUCAAAUUUAGUCAAAAUUAAAACAUGCUUUGUUGGACGGAGGAAGUGUUAU
Brachypodium distachyon (stiff brome) is the source of this 136-nucleotide non-coding RNA. Lineage: Eukaryota; Viridiplantae; Streptophyta; Magnoliopsida; Poales; Poaceae. The record is from Rfam.